Molecule: long non-coding RNA, 828 nt
Filed under: Homo sapiens (human)
Lineage: Eukaryota; Metazoa; Chordata; Mammalia; Primates; Hominidae
Description: non-protein coding lnc-SULF1-3:1
Source: RNAcentral
CACACACACACACACACACCGGCGUACUGGAACCUCUCUCGCGAUCCCGCACCCAGCUUGAAUUCAGCAAGAAUCGAAAACAGGUGUGCCCCCGUGUCCAACAACCGUCGUAUCUACAGCGAUCCUUAGAGAACAAUUAAGGCCAGUUGACAGUAAAGAACAAUCAGUGUGUAUUUGAAGUCCAUGCUGAGAGAGCAUCAAUCUUCUGGCAGCUGCAAGACUGACCUAUCAACCGAGGCAUUUCUUCAUUCCCUGCCAUUGUCUCCUCCUCUUGAGAUCGCCAUCAGGCACAGUCACUUUUCUACAAACAGGCAAUAGGACUCCCGCUGCCACCCUGCCCAGAUUUUAGUCCUCUACUGCUGAUAAAGUGAGCAAAGAUACGUGGCACUUCCUGAACCCAAAUACUCUUCUGAGCUGAUUCUAAAUCCACACAGAAUCAACCUACCUCCUAUUACCUCCUUCCAAGCUCUGUGUCCCAUUCUCUCAUUUCAGUCUCAGCUCCAGACAUCAGUGAAUUCAAUGUGAUACAUCAGGGGACAUCACAGGACUUCCCUACUUGAAAAUCAAGCAAUCGUGUCCCUGAAACACUCUGUCUUUAUUCAUGCUCAGUUACCGUAAAGUAGAUGCAACUCUAAGAACCUAUGGAUUUUUUUAUUGCCACUAAUAGAUCAUGAUUUACAGCAAAAUUUUAAAAGGUCCAAUUUUACUCACAUAAGAAGAAGAAAACAUUCAGCAAGAAGCAUUUCUUUUGCUUUAUCUUUCCCAGUUAAAUAUGACUUUAAAAAAGACAAAAUUUUAAAAGGUCCAAUUUUACUCACAAAAGAAGAA